GACGAACGCUGGCGGCGUGCUUAACACAUGCAAGUCGAACGCUGAAGCUCAGCUUUUGUUGGGUGGAUGAUUGGCGAACGGGUGAGUAACACGUGAGUAACCUGCCCCCUUCUUUGGGAUAACGCCCGGAAACGGGUGCUAAUACUGGAUAUUCACUGUUCUUCGCAUGGGGGUUGGUGGAAAGGGUUUUUCUGGUGGGGGAUGGGGUCGCGGCCUAUCUGCUUGUUGGUGGGGUGAUGGCCUACCAAGGCUUUGACGAGUAGACGGCCUGAGAGGGUGACCGGGAACAUAGGCACUGAGAUACGGCCUAGGCUACGCAGCGAGGCAGCAGUGGCGGAUAUUGCAGAAAGGGUGCAAGACUGAUGCAGCGACGGUGCGUGAGGGAUGGAGGCCUUCGGGUUGUGAUACUAUUUCGGUAAUGAUGAAGCCGCAACAGUGGUUGUGGUGAGGGUAGUGGGUAAAGAAGCGCCGGCUAACUACGUG
This 483-nucleotide ribosomal RNA is filed under the name uncultured bacterium. RNAcentral's name for it is "partial 16S ribosomal RNA". It matches the Rfam family "Bacterial small subunit ribosomal RNA", at positions 28 to 507 of the family's 1533-position model. The record is from RNAcentral.